This 427-nucleotide ribosomal RNA is filed under the name uncultured Lachnospiraceae bacterium. RNAcentral describes it as "bacterial SSU rRNA". It matches the Rfam family "Bacterial small subunit ribosomal RNA", at positions 355 to 794 of the family's 1533-position model. Lineage: Bacteria; Bacillati; Bacillota; Clostridia; Lachnospirales; Lachnospiraceae. The record is from RNAcentral.
UGGGGAAUAUUGGGGCAAUGGGACGAAAGUCUGACCCAGCGACGCCGCGUGAGGGAAGAAGGUCUUCGGAUUGUAAACCUCUGUUGACAGGGAAGAAGUAAGUGACGGUACCUGACUAAGAAGCCCCGGCUAACUACGUGCCAGCAGCCGCGGUAAUACGUAGGGGGCAAGCGUUAUCCGGAUUUACUGGGUGUAAAGGGAGCGCAGGCGGUCCUGCAAGUCUGAUGUGAAAGCCCGGGGCUCAACCCCGGGACUGCAUUGGAAACUGUGGGACUUGAGUGUCGGAGGGGCAAGUGGAAUUCCUAGUGUAGCGGUGAAAUGCGUAGAUAUUAGGAGGAACACCAGUGGCGAAGGCGGCUUGCUGGACGACAACUGACGCUGAGGCUCGAAAGCGUGGGGAGCAAACAGGAUUAGAUACCCUGGUAGU